RNAcentral lists this ribosomal RNA (466 nucleotides) under uncultured bacterium. Its description in RNAcentral is "partial 16S ribosomal RNA". It matches the Rfam family "Bacterial small subunit ribosomal RNA", at positions 28 to 507 of the family's 1533-position model. The record is from RNAcentral.
GAUGAACGCUGGCGGCGUGCUUAACACAUGCAAGUCGAACGAUGACCCCGUGCUUGCACGGGUGAUUAGUGGCGAACGGGUGAGUAACACGUGAGUAACCUGCCCCCGACUUUGGGAUAAGCCCGGGAAACUGGGUCUAAUACCGGAUAUGACUUCUUACCGCAUGGUGGGUUGUUGAAAGAUUUAUCGGUGGGGGAUGGACUCGCGGCCUAUCAGCUUGUUGGUGAGGUAAUGGCUCACCAAGGCGACGACGGGUAGCCGGCCUGAGAGGGUGACCGGCCACACUGGGACUGAGACACGGCCCAGACUCCUACGGGAGGCAGCAGUGGGGAAUAUUGCACAAUGGGCGAAAGCCUGAUGCAGCGACGCCGCGUGAGGGAUGACGGCCUUCGGGUUGUAAACCUCUUUCAGUAGGGAAGAAGCGAAAGUGACGGUACCUGCAGAAGAAGCGCCGGCUAACUACGUG